Long non-coding RNA from Symsagittifera roscoffensis, 1403 nucleotides. RefSeq lists it as uncharacterized. The transcript has 3 exons. Lineage: Eukaryota; Metazoa; Xenacoelomorpha; Acoela; Convolutidae. The record is from RefSeq and is a predicted model, not a curated record.
CCGAAAGCCGCCCUGCUUAAAUAAUCUGGAUCUUGAAACCAAUGUGUUACCAUAAAAUCUUUGUAUUAACAUUAUAUAAUGCAAUAAAUUAUUUCAGUUAUCUUUUGCAGCUGUUUCGAUACUUUCUGCAGUAUUUAAAUUUGGUUGCAGCAACUUCCUUUUUCGCGAUUUAUUAAUUUAUCGGAGAUCCAGAACAAGAUGAAGACACUUUUUCAAUUAGUGUUUGCCACAGUUUCUCUUUGUUUGUUGCUAUUGAUAUGGAACUAUCGACAGAGCAACUUUAUUAUCUGGGAUACCCGCCGUGAUUUGGUGGAAUUGGAAAAAUUCGAGAAUUAUUCUUCAAAUUCCAAUUUUAUUGCGAAAAAUUGUAUAUAUCAGUUGAAUACUUCUCAAUGGAUGGAAAAACCGAUGUCAAAUCCGAAGUUUUGUUUUCCGAGUGGCGAUGUUUAUAUUCGAGACAUCGUGGUCAAAGAUGGUAACUUCGAAAUCGAUUUGCAAAAAAUACUGUUCAACAACUACUUUGCUCUUUUUCCAGAUGCCUCCUUUCUGGAUAUUGGAGCUAACUCUGGAAUAUAUACUGUAUCCGCCGCUUUAUUGGGACGCAAAGUAUUUGCAUUUGAGCCAUUGCAACCGACGCUUAACGCACUCAAACACAACGUGAUUAUUAAUAACUUAACUGACAAAGUAUAUAUCUAUAAUUACGGUCUUCUUGACAAAGAAAAGUGUGUGACUUCAACGCUUCAACAAAAUCUCGUCAAUAUUGGAGGAUCGCGUCUUCUAGAAGAUGAAAACUGUUCUAACCAUAGUCAGAUCAAAGUUUCAACACUUGACAGAUUUUUGCCCACUUUGAUACGAAUGAACAUCAAUCAGCUCAUAAUCAAAAUCGACAUUGAAGAAUCUGAGCCCUAUGCAAUAUUGGGAGGAAAAAAGUUUUUCGAAACGGUUGAUGUUCCAAUCAUACAAAUGGAAAUGCUUCAUUUGAGCAAUAAACUGAGAUCAACAAACCCAAUUGACAGGGAGAAAAAAGAAAUCACGUGGAAAUUUCUGCAUUAUUUGGACACAAAGUUCAAGCCGUUAACAUUGGAUAGCUCAUUAUUGAAGGUGCAUGAUGCUGACAAAUGGAAUUUUCUAAACAUAGUGUGGGUUUCAAGAAGACAACAAACUGCUGCAAUGUUUUUUUGACAUAUCUGUAUCUGUAUCUUUUUGACAUAUCUGUAUCUGUAUCUGUAUCUGUAUCUGUAUCUGUACUUUUUUGACAUAUCUGUAUCUGUAUCUGUACGUAGUAUCUACCCGGAGUAACCAUCCCACAAAAAUCCCCCUAUCUUUAAAUCUUUUUAAAAUUUCUAGAAAAUAUCCGCUGUCUUAAACUUUUUUUUUACAAGAAACGUUCUAAGAUUGCAACU